This 500-nucleotide ribosomal RNA is filed under the name uncultured methanogenic archaeon. Its description in RNAcentral is "bacterial SSU rRNA". It matches the Rfam family "Archaeal small subunit ribosomal RNA", at positions 1 to 508 of the family's 1478-position model. The record is from RNAcentral. Lineage: Archaea; Methanobacteriati; Methanobacteriota.
UCCGUUUGAUCCUGCCAGAGGUUACUGCUAUCGAGGUUCGACUAAGCCAUGCGAGUCGAAUGUAGCAAUACAUGGCGAACUGCUCAGUAACACGUGGACAACCUGCCCUUAGGACGGGGAUAAACCCGGGAAACUGGGUAUAAUACCCGAUAGGUCUCGAUUGCUGGAAUGCAUCGAGAUUUAAAGCUCCGGCGCCUAAGGAUGGGUCUGCGGCCUAUCAGGUAGUAGUGGGUGUAGCGUACCUACUAGCCUACGACGGGUACGGGUUGUGAGAGCAAGAGCCCGGAGAUGGAUUCUGAGACACGAAUCCAGGCCCUACGGGGUGCAGCAGGCGCGAAAACUUUACAAUGCUGGCAACAGCGAUAAGGGAACCUCGAGUGCCAGGUUACAAAUCUGGCUGUCGAGAUGCCUAAAAAGCAUUUCAUAGCAAGGGCCGGGCAAGACCGGUGCCAGCCGCCGCGGUAACACCGGCGGCUCGAGUGGUAACCGUUAUUAUUGGG